Long non-coding RNA from Magnolia sinica, 544 nucleotides. RefSeq lists it as uncharacterized. The record is from RefSeq and is a predicted model, not a curated record. Lineage: Eukaryota; Viridiplantae; Streptophyta; Magnoliopsida; Magnoliales; Magnoliaceae. The transcript has 3 exons.
UAUUGACAUCUAAUAUUAUUUCUUUUUGGGUCAGUAAUUGUUCAUGUGCUUGCUUCUAAGAUGCUUUGAUUGGUAAUGGUAAGUGUUUUACGAACAUGAUUAUUUUCUGCCUUUCCUAAGUCUUAAUGACUAAAUCUUCCUUUCCUAUUCAAUUUGUUGUUUAAGAGAGCGGACUUACAUUGGAACAGGAGAUUAGAGGAUUUGGAACAGUUGACAAAUUUACAAGAUGAGCUCCUUGAUGCAGCUUCAUUGAGUUCACUAUAGAUCUUGCUGAUAGGUACGUCCCACCUGAUCUUGUUACGGACAAAGGGUUCUUCUUCUCCAGCCCAGUCAAACAUCAUCUUGAUGGAUCAUUUGCUGCCCGCCUGGUCCAAUCUGUAGACCACAAGAUGAACCCUAGAUAGCAAGCAAAACGUGAACCUCUCCUCUUUAAUCAAGACAAGGUAGGGCCAUGAUGGGAUACAAUUAUCCAACAAGAAACUUAUCUCUUGUAACUAAUGUUGUCAAAAUCGUUAUCAUAUUGCAAAUCGUAAUUGGGGUUGAA